Molecule: ribosomal RNA, 699 nt
Filed under: uncultured bacterium
Lineage: Bacteria
Description: bacterial SSU rRNA
Rfam family: Bacterial small subunit ribosomal RNA
Source: RNAcentral
AGAGUUUGAUCCUGGCUCAGGAUGAACGCUAGCGGCAGGCUUAACACAUGCAAGUCGAGGGGUAACAGGGAAAGCUUGCUUUCCGCUGACGACCGGCGAACGGGUGCGUAACACGUAUGCAACCUACCCUUUACAGGAAGAUAGCCCAGAGAAAUCUGGAUUAAUAUUCCAUAUUAUCGGACCAUGGCAUCAUGGACCGAUGAAAGCUCCGGCGGUAAGGGAUGGGCAUGCGGCCUAUUAGCUUGUUGGUGAGGUAACGGCUCACCAAGGCUGCGAUAGGUAGGGGGUCUGAGAGGAUUAUCCCCCACACUGGUACUGAGACACGGACCAGACUCCUACGGGAGGCAGCAGUGAGGAAUAUUGCGCAAUGGAGGAAACUCUGACGCAGCCAUGCCGCGUGCAGGAAGACAGCCCUACGGGUUGUAAACUGCUUUUAUUUGGGAAGAAACCCCCUUACGUGUAAGGGGCUGACGGUACCAUUUGAAUAAGGACCGGCUAACUCCGUGCCAGCAGCCGCGGUAAUACGGAGGGUCCAAGCGUUAUCCGGAUUUAUUGGGUUUAAAGGGUUCGUAGGCGGGAUAUUAAGUCAGUGGUGAAAUCCUACAGCUUAACUGUAGAACUGCCAUUGAUACUGAUAUUCUUGAAUUCACCUGAAGUAGGCGGAACAUGACAUGUAGCGGUGAAAUGCUUAGAUAUGUC